ACACUGGGGAUUGAUCGAGUAUGCGCCCUGACUGGGAAUCGAACCGUGACCUCCUGGCUCAACGCUUAACCACGGAGAGCACACUGGGCGGGCAAGAUUAAAAUGUUAAAAAUCCUCUCCCUACAUAUUUAACUAAAGUACUUCCUUUACCUCCACUCGUUAACAUUUCUUCUGCAUCUGCCUCUGACCACGUGCUGUGAUGGGUGGGGCGCAGUCUCUGUGCUCAGGGCGCACACAGCAUGUGGUAGAGACAGGUUGGCAGCGACUGACAAUACGGGGUGACACCUGCAUUGCUACAAAUGCAGCAAGACGGUUCUCCAUAUUUCCGUGAAGGGAAGCGCAGCAGAGCCGGCUGGAGGAUGUGACGUUGAUCUUGUUGUGUUUUCAGAGGUUGUGCCUGAGCCUGCUGCGUGCCCCAUAAAGGGCAAUGAAGAAUACGGUCUGUGCCUUCCCGGGACUCAUCUGUCCCCACGCCAGCACUAAACUGGCACUGCCAUUUAAAGGGCACUGUGCCUGCAGACCCGGAGGAUGGCGGCCACACCUGGUAUCUCAGUGGGACGCUGAUGGACCGGAGUGACCUUGGGCAGGUCACCUGGCUCUGUGGGUUUCCUCUCUUCCUCUGAGAAAGUAGGGGCUUUGGGGCAGAUGACAAAGCUCACAGGUGUUGUGACUAGGGAUCCGUGACAAUCUGGAACAGACCUGUGCUCAGACCUGUACUCAGCAAACUGGCCCGGACUGUCCCCACCCCACACCACAGCGCCCAUCCCACCCUCUCGUCCUUGGCCCCAGCGACACACAUCAACCGGAACACUCGGGCCUCCCCACCUCCCUGAGCAACCUGCCUGCUGAAACCUGGGAAGACCUGGUCUCAGUUACGUCCUUAUGCAACAGCCCCGCCCCCACGCUGCAUUGCUGGUGCUUUAAGAAACACAAUAUUGCCAGAAUGGAUUAUGCAGCAAAUGAUUCCAGGGAACUGAACGGACCAGUCUGGUGAGCAGCCCCGAGCACCUUCUAUAAGGCCCUGGCCUCGCUCUCCUGCUCCCCCGUCCAAGGAAGGAUGGCAAGCAGGAGUCAGGUUAGGUCACAGGACGAGGAGCCUGAACUAGCUGAAGCUGCCUGGGACCGCUCGAGCGUGUCCAUCCCUGGCCCCGCGCACUGGGCCUUAAUAACUCAAUAAUAACCGGCUUCUAGGGCACACAAAGGCUUUUGGAAAGCUGGACAUAAAGGCCACUUUGUUCUGCUCCUGCCGUUCCAGCAGACAUCCAUAGGUGUUCCCACACAGGCUGGCCGCCCGGCUGCUGCCUCCCCCCUCCCUGCGCACUGAGGGGAGCUACAGAUGGCUGAGAAGGAGAGCCACGGCCUGAAAAUCGACUCUGAGGAGAAAGCAGAAGAGACAUGGCCGUCCUGGGAAGCUGGGUGUGUUUUCUGCCAGGCCCUUCUCUUCUCCAGACUGCCGGCCCCUGCAGGGAGCCGCAUCCACUCCAUCAAAAAGUCAUCGCGGGCCCAGCGCGGCUUUCACGUUCUCUCGGCCAGAUGCUCCCCAUACAUGCGCAGGCCGUCACUGGGGGACUGGGACCGGCAGGCUUCAACGCUGGGAAGCGGGAUGUCCUCCAAGACCGUCAUGGUUUUUCAAAUCCCAUAUGGACGGUGUCUCUGUCCUUUUCCAAACUUGCUGUGGUUUCCUGUCGCCUAUGGAGUCAAGUCUCAGUCUUGAUCCCGUCAUUCAAAGUUGACUUUCAGGUUGCAAGGAACAGCAUUCAAACAAUCACCAGGAAAAGAAGGUUAAGGAGUGGCUGUAAGGCUGCACAUAGAUUUGGACCGGAGCUGGCAAGACAUCAAGUUCCAGCGUGGGCUCAGGGACUGGCUGCUCCACCCCUCGUUUCAGCCGCAUGGUCUCGCUUUUUCUUACCCCUCUGUCACUUAUACUGAGUGUGGGCUCCUCUGCUGACAUGCUUUCUGUGUCCUUGUGACUUGGGCUCGCAAAGGCUUUGGCUUGUCCUAGAUCUCCAGCCCCACCUUUGCCUCAAGGCACGUCUUUCAGCACCUGCCUGUGCUCCCAGAGCUACCAUUUUGGCUUCCCAAUUUGAGAUUCCAGGAGGGAAUCUGAUUGCCAAGGCUCAUCUUUUCACGCAGGUCCAAGUCCUAGAUCUCAGACUGCCCAGGAGGAUGCCCUUGGACCAGGUUUCUCUGGCCAAUCAACCUUGGCUGGUGGACAAGGGUCCAGUUCCAUCAGUGGGGACUGGAGUUGGGGUGUUCCCAUAGGGCAGCUCUCUGCUGCAAUGCCCUGAAAGCCCAGUUCAGGUCAUACCUCCUCUGUAUCUCUCUUCUUAAUUGCUUCCUCAUGUAUUAGGUACUUACAAUAUUGCAUUCUGAGUUACUCCUGUCUGUGACUUUGUCUGUUGUCACGCAGAUGAUAAAGAGCUUAAGUCCUGAGACUCUUAAAACAGAGGCCAAGAACUUUUGUCAAGGUCAGAUGACCACUCAACCUGAAUUCUUAGUGGCUUUUUGAUUUCAAAUAUUCUCUACUGCGGUCCCUGGAAAUUACAGAAACAUUCGAAAAAUUCCAACCUUUUAGAAGAGAUAUCUGUUUCCCAGAAUCCCUUAUAUCUGGAGGGGACACAAAAAACUCCAUGUUCCAAUUUUUGAGGUUGGAAAUGUGGCUGCCGAGUUCAUGAGGAACAGAGACCUUCUCUGAAGGUGGUGAUGGAGGGCAGCUGACAUUGGAGAGCGACGACAGAAAGAGAAUGAGUUGGACUUGGUGACUCAUUGGCUAAGGAAGAGCGUGCAAUCGAUUAACGGAGUUACCCAUGGUUUUGGCUUGAGUGAUUGAGUGGAAAAUGGGAUGGAAA
This is a long non-coding RNA of Myotis brandtii (Brandt's bat), 2849 nucleotides long. RefSeq lists it as uncharacterized. The transcript is spliced from 3 exons. The record is from RefSeq and is a predicted model, not a curated record. NCBI's taxonomy places the organism in Eukaryota, Metazoa, Chordata, Mammalia, Chiroptera, Vespertilionidae.